Sapajus apella (tufted capuchin) is the source of this 1069-nucleotide RNA transcript. It is a transcript of the gene named homeobox protein NANOG pseudogene, with no coding region annotated. The transcript has a single exon. NCBI's taxonomy places the organism in Eukaryota, Metazoa, Chordata, Mammalia, Primates, Cebidae. The record is from RefSeq and is a predicted model, not a curated record.
UGGAUUGAGCUGGUUGCCUCCUAUUAUUGUGGAGGUGACUCACUUCAUCCCAACUUCUUGAUACUUUCACUUCUGGAGGUCAUAUUUCUCUAAGUUCUUCCAGAAAAAGUUUUAAUGCCGCCUUAGCCUUUUUUACAGUCCAGCUCUUAAUUUUUUUCCUCUUCUUCCCCAAUAAUAACAUGAGUGUGGAUCCAGCUUGUCCCCAAAGCCUGCCUUGCUAUGGAGCAUCCAACUGUAAAGAAUCUUCACCUGUGCCUAUGACUUGUGGGCUUGAAGAAAACUAUCCAUCCUUGCAAAUGUCUUCUGCUGAGAUGCCUCACACAGAGACUGUCUCUCCUCUUCCUUCCUCCAUGGAUCUGCUUAUUCAGGACAGCCAUGAUUCUUCUACCAGUCCCAAAGGCAAACAACACACUUCUGCAGAGAAGAACACCACAAAAAAGGAAGACAAGGUCCCGGUCAAGAAACAGAAGACCAGAACUGUGUUCUCUUCCACCCAGCUGUGUGUACUCAAUGAUGGAUGUCAGAGACAGAAAUACCUCAGCCUCCAGCAGAUGCAAGAACUUUCCAACAUCCUGAACCUUAGCUACAAACAGGUUAAGACCUGGUUCCAGAACCAGAGAAUGAAAUCUAAGAGGUGGCAAAAAAACAACUGGCCAAAGAAUAGCAGUGGUGUGACUUGAGCCUCAGCACUUACCUACCUACAACAACCUCUAACCCUUCUUACCACCAGGGAUGCCUGGUGAACACGACUGGGAACCUUCCAAUGUGGAGCAACCAGACCUGGAGCAAUUCAACCUGGAGCAACCACGCCUGGAACACUGAGACCUGGUGCAUCCAGUCCUGGAACAAUCAGGCCUGGAACAGUUCCUUCUGUAACCAUGGAGAGGAAUCUUGGCAGUCCUAUAUGCAGUUCCAGCCAAAUUCUCCUGCCAGUGACUUGGAGGUUGCCUUGGAAACUUCUGGGGAAAGCCAAAAUGUAAUACAGCAGACCACUAGGUAUUUCGGUACUCCACAAACUAUGGAUUCAUUCCUAAACUACUCCACAAACAGGCAACCUGAAGCUAUGUGA